UAUCUGUCAAAAACAGGGGAUCAAGAAAAUACAUUUUAUGAAAAGAUGCAGGAACAUACAUAAGGAUUUUUUUUUUCUUUUCUAUAAAUUGCUUUUUAUGCCAACUCUAGUUCAUGUAAACUUUUUGCAAGGGAUAGCAACUCCAUCUUUGCCAUGCUUCAGGUUUGUAUAAAUUGCUGAUGGAUUUGUUAAGAGUAAUAGAUGCAUUCAAAUGCAGCUCAAGCAGAUGAAAGCUCUAGCUGGAGGUUGAUGGGCUUCAAAAGGAUUAAAGGGAAGAGAGACAAUGACAAGGAAGAAUAAGAGUUGAACACUAUAAUAAUUACAAAUGUGUAUCCAUUUAACUUGAAUACAUUGAUUUAUAAUUUUGUUUAUUUCCUUUUCGUUAAACAAUCAAAAAUCAAAACUAAAACCUGCAAACCUUAAAAUGCACAUUUGCCACCUGGGCUGAGUCUCAAAAGCAUAAUGUUAUUUUCCUCCAUGUUAACUUAAAAUAUUAAAGAACCAAAAACUAAAUGUGUUCUUCUUGUCAAGCGAAAUGACACACGUAUAGGUAAGGGGCCAACCAGAAAGACUUGCUCAAACUCGCAUAUUAAAAGAGUGGUCCAAUUAUAAGAGGCAUGUGAAAUACAUGCAUCAACUAUAAUUGCAUUCAUGCGAAGGAUUUUGUUUAUGGCUAGUACACCAUUAAAAUGCUUUAAGAGAAAAAUA
RNAcentral lists this unclassified non-coding RNA (708 nucleotides) under Hevea brasiliensis (rubber tree). Lineage: Eukaryota; Viridiplantae; Streptophyta; Magnoliopsida; Malpighiales; Euphorbiaceae. The record is from RNAcentral.